Molecule: ribosomal RNA, 254 nt
Filed under: uncultured bacterium
Lineage: Bacteria
Description: partial 16S ribosomal RNA
Rfam family: Bacterial small subunit ribosomal RNA
Source: RNAcentral
CACGUAGGGGCCGAGCGUUGUCCGGAGUUACUGGGCGUAAAGGGCGCGCAGGCGGCCUGCUGCAUCACCGGUGAAAGCCCCGCGCUCAACGCGGGAGGGUCCGGUGAGAUGAGCAGGCUGGAGGCAGGGCGAGGGCGGUGGAAUUCCGGGUGUAGUGGUGAAAUGCGUAGAGAUCCGGAGGAACACCAGUGGCGAAGGCGGCCGCCUGGACCUGACCUGACGCUGAGUGAGCGAAAGCCAGGGGAGCAAACGGG